Molecule: unclassified non-coding RNA, 336 nt
Filed under: soil metagenome
Description: partial contains 5.8S ribosomal RNA, internal transcribed spacer 2, and large subunit ribosomal RNA
Rfam family: 5.8S ribosomal RNA (bases 1-120)
Source: RNAcentral
GAUGAAGAACGCAGCGAAAUGCGAUAAGUAGUGUGAAUUGCAGAAUUCAGUGAAUCAUCGAAUCUUUGAACGCACAUUGCGCCCCUUGGUAUUCCAUGGGGCAUGCCUGUUCGAGCGUCAUUUGUACCUUCAAGCUUUGCUUGGUGUUGGGUGUUUGUCUCGCCUUUGCGUGUAGACUCGUCUUAAAAUAAUUGGCAGCCGGCGUAUUGAUUUCGGAGCGCAGUACAUCUCGCGCUUUGCACUCAUAACGACAGCGUCCAAAAGUACAUUUUACACUCUUGACCUCGGAUCAGGUAGGGAUACCCGCUGAACUUAAGCAUAUCAAUAAGCGGAGGA